This 114-nucleotide ribosomal RNA is filed under the name Bifidobacterium longum. The record is from RNAcentral. Lineage: Bacteria; Bacillati; Actinomycetota; Actinomycetes; Bifidobacteriales; Bifidobacteriaceae.
GGCGGCCAUGGCCCAGGUGAGACGCCCGGUCCCAUUCCGAACCCGGAAGCUAAGGCCUGGCACGGCGAUGGUACUGCACCCGACAGGGUGUGGGAGAGUAGCACGCCGCCGCAC